UCCUGCUUUCGAGUGGGCCCA
This 21-nucleotide non-coding RNA is filed under the name Arabidopsis thaliana (thale cress). Lineage: Eukaryota; Viridiplantae; Streptophyta; Magnoliopsida; Brassicales; Brassicaceae. The record is from RNAcentral.